Long non-coding RNA from Suricata suricatta (meerkat), 915 nucleotides. RefSeq lists it as uncharacterized. Lineage: Eukaryota; Metazoa; Chordata; Mammalia; Carnivora; Herpestidae. The record is from RefSeq and is a predicted model, not a curated record. The transcript has 4 exons.
AGCCUGUUGACCCUGUGCUGGCCAAGGAUUGAUGCCGCCCCCGACACGCUGACUUCAUGAUGCAAAGGAAACCAGAUGUCCAGUUACCCUUAAUACCAUGGAAAUAGACAAGAUGACCCAAAGGCUUCCUACUUUGUUUAAUCACAUGAAGAUCAAACUGAAUGAGAGUUGAGGAAACUGAGGCCAGAGGGAUGGAGUGACAUGCAGUGGGCUUGGGUCACUGGUCUUUGGUGACAGAACACAGACAAGAACUAGCUCCCACAGCUGAUAGGAGUUCUCCUCAUCACUCUUAUCUCUGCCCAACUUACAACACAGCAAUUGAUUUGUUGCCAUCCACUCUUUAUUGAUGAACACCUUGUGGUGGAAAACAUCAUUGUACACAGGAUUUCCUGGUUGCUGAGCCACUCUUCACUCUGGACGUGAAAGAUGCCACCUGCCAAGUAAACCUGACCCAGAAGGAUCCUGGCUGAUCAACAAACCAAACAUGGAUUGACAGAAGGAAGAAAUAUCAGGAAGACUUUCUGGUCAGGGCCAGCCUGGGGAUGGAGGCCUCUCACCACCCAUUUCCACGGAAGGUGGCAGACCUGCAGAGCAUGUCCCCACUCUUCAUGCUGAGAGAGAACAGACGUCUGGGGACCCUGGUAAGGGCAGGCCCUGCUAGCUGGGUCCACAGACCAGUCGAGCACUUUUGUGCCAUCUGAGGGAGAGGACACACAUCACGUGCGCAGCAGCCUGAGCGUGCUCCUGAGUGGGGAGCUGCCCAGUCUGAUCAGCCAGACGUCUUCGCAUUGGGAGGGGAGUCAGGGCAAGUGGGGAUAGAAGCUGCCUCUCUAGCACUUCCUUGUCCCAGAGAAAGUGUUUGCAGACCUUCCCUUCUCUUUCUGUCAGCCCAGAAAUAAAAAAAGAGGAAUAUAA